This is a long non-coding RNA of Ceratitis capitata (Mediterranean fruit fly), 650 nucleotides long. RefSeq lists it as uncharacterized. The transcript is spliced from 2 exons. The record is from RefSeq and is a predicted model, not a curated record. Lineage: Eukaryota; Metazoa; Arthropoda; Insecta; Diptera; Tephritidae.
GUAACAUCAGUUACGUUUUGAUACUCGGACUUGUCGGACGUUGUGGAAAAGUGCUCUAUUGGAUUUACGGUUAUUGUGGCGCGCUUACGUGUGCGUGUGUGUGUUCGUGUUGGUGGCUUUUUCAUUGUAUUCUGUUGUGUAGUGUAGUGUAGUGAGUUGUUUUUGGUAUAAUGACAGCGGGCAGCACAAGCGUACGACGGUAUGAAAUGGCUGCAUAGUGCUUUAGGCCAGUGUGAAUGAAAUGGCCGUAAACGGAAAGGUGUAAAUUCAAUAAAUGAAAUAAGAAAAUGUUCAAUAUGAGUUUUUGCAGCCAAGAAAAUAAAUGAGUUUUAUGUAAGUGUUUUAUUAACGUUAAAAAAAAAUGUUCUUAAUUAAAAAUAAAAGUGAGAAAAUAGAAGAAAAUUAUGUAAAUUUGCUGAAAGUGUGAUGAAUUAGUGGCAAGCGAAAGAAAAAAGAAAAAUAAAAUAUCACCAAGAAGCCCGGCAGUCAGUCAUUAUUAACGAAUUCGCUGCAUACUUUUUGUUGUUGUGUUACGAGGCGAAAUAGGUUUUAAGACCAAGUUAAAAAGCAAUAGCAAUAACAACAAUGGUGUGGUGCGUAGAAAUCGUAAAGAAACAAAAAAGAAUUAUGUGUUUUACUUGUACCUAGUA